Small nucleolar RNA from Sciurus vulgaris (Eurasian red squirrel), 191 nucleotides. Its record names the gene SNORA73. It matches the Rfam family "Small nucleolar RNA SNORA73 family". From Rfam's summary of the family: U17 (SNORA73A and SNORA73B) also known as E1 belongs to the H/ACA class of small nucleolar RNAs (snoRNAs). Vertebrate U17 is intron-encoded and ranges in length from 200-230 nucleotides, longer than most snoRNAs. It is one of the most abundant snoRNAs in human cells and is essential for the cleavage of pre-rRNA within the 5' external transcribed spacer (ETS). NCBI's taxonomy places the organism in Eukaryota, Metazoa, Chordata, Mammalia, Rodentia, Sciuridae. The record is from Ensembl.
UCAACAUGGAUACCCAUGGAAGUCACUCUGUUUAAGUGGCACAGAAGAGCACAGGGUUCCGUCCCAUGAUAUACAGUUCCUUUACACAAUGGUGGAGAUGAAAAUGGGAUUUGUGUCUGCACUUGCAUAUUCCUACAACUUCUCAGUCCUGUGGACAAUGAUUGAGAUGAUAAGCCAUGCAGUAAAUAAUG